UACGAAGGGGGCUAGCGUUGCUCGGAAUCACUGGGCGUAAAGGGCGCGUAGGCGGCCAUUCAAGUCGGAGGUGAAAGCCCAGGGCUCAACCCUGGAAUUGCCUUCGAUACUGUCUGGCUAGAGACCGGAAGAGGUAAGUGGAACUGCGAGUGUAGAGGUGAAAUUCGUAGAUAUUCGGAAGAACACCAGUGGCGAAGGCGGCUCACUGGACUGGUAUUGACGCUGAGGUGCGAAAGCGUGGGGAGCAAACAGG
RNAcentral lists this ribosomal RNA (253 nucleotides) under uncultured bacterium. RNAcentral's name for it is "partial 16S ribosomal RNA". It matches the Rfam family "Bacterial small subunit ribosomal RNA", at positions 524 to 776 of the family's 1533-position model. The record is from RNAcentral.